CACAUUUCAUUACAUCUGUUCCUUGUAAUGUGAUAUUGUGUUUCUGUAAACAGGUAUCAUGAGCUCAGUGGAUACACCAGCAACUAUAUCAACUAUGGCAGACAUGAAGGGAAUCAGUUCCACUACAAUCACACUCUGAACAUGCUGUCUGUCUCUUACUUUGCUCACAGCGACGGGCCGCUGACUGUAGUCCAUUAUCACUGCAAUGCAAAUCAGUCCAUGUCCAUCAUCCGGAGCCAGAGCCUCAGCGCAGAGGGGAACCUGCAAAUCUGGGUAGAGAGCCCUUGUGCCUGUCCAAAUGCCUGUGCCAUAGGAGAUCUGGGUCACGGCACCAUCUUCCUCAUCAUCCUGUCCCUCAGUGCUGCUGCCUACUUUAUCCUUGGCUCCUGUGCUCUGAGGCCUUUCCGGAGCAGCAGUGGAGUUCAGAUCUCUCCGGAGCGCAGUGUGUGGUGUAUGAUCUGCUACCUCUGUACUGAGAGAAGGCCAGCGAGGAGACACUACACAGACGUGACAGACUGAUCGAUGAACUCCAGAACGCUGCGAAGUGUCUCGGCCUGUUAUGUUUUGUCGACAUAAAGCUGUCAAGAGUUGUGGACGAGGUUCUGUCCUACAAUAAGCUGAAAGUGAACUGAAUCAAUAGUAGAGAUAAAUGUGUUUUGCUCUGAUAUUGUACAAAUAAAAACUCGACAAACUUCA
Acanthochromis polyacanthus (spiny chromis) is the source of this 696-nucleotide long non-coding RNA. RefSeq lists it as uncharacterized. The record is from RefSeq and is a predicted model, not a curated record. The transcript has 3 exons. Lineage: Eukaryota; Metazoa; Chordata; Actinopteri; Pomacentridae.